AAAUUUUUUUACUUUAAUAGCAUCCAAUUCUUCUCUAUUACCUCUCAUCCUUCCAAUGCUACCAUAUCUACUAAAGAUGCCUUCUAUUAUAAAUCUACAUAUUACCUUAGUAGUCUUGGUUCUCAAAGCCCUCCCUUCGACAUAAUUUGAUAGCUCUUCUCUUCCUAAAAUCAAAUAUUUUAUAUCCAAAAGUCUUCUUAGCAUAGCUACCAAAUCAAUUAUCUAUUGAAAAUGUAUUAAAGGUAGAUAAAUAAGAUAUAAUUCGUCUCUGUACCUAACUUUAGAUUAUAGUUGACACAUUGUGCAUGAGCUCAUAAAGUCUUCUAUAUCUUUGUAUAAAUUCUUCUAUCAAUAUCUUUCCUUGAU
RNAcentral lists this long non-coding RNA (366 nucleotides) under Physcomitrium patens. RNAcentral describes it as "long non-coding RNA (PPAT_LNC012437)". The record is from RNAcentral. Lineage: Eukaryota; Viridiplantae; Streptophyta; Bryopsida; Funariales; Funariaceae.